UAAUGCCACCUUUUCCAAUACGUGGCAGUAGCUAAAUAAAUUGAUAGCAUUACGUUCUUAUAAGUGUAAUAAAUCAAGUGCACUUGAAAGUGCAUAGUGCCACGUGAAAAUAAGGAGACAAAUCAGUCAAAUGAGGAUUUGUAGAUAAUUUCAAGGUGACAAGGAUGUCCCCACGUGGCUUUAUAGAAAGGAGCAGCAAGUGACUAGUACAAAUUGUCAUUUGGUGGCAUCUUUAUAGCCAAUUUCUUAGUGAUAGAGUCUUGCCUUUAAUUGUGUGGAGCCGUGGCCAUAAAUAGAGGAAUUCUUCACUUAAGCUUUCAUUUUAGUGAUAUGGAAGUUAAUAAAAUAGGGCUGCUCUCUGCAGAGCCAUGACAAACAAAAAUGAACAGAGGAUUGUUCAUGAUUUUGGUCUCGUUGUUUCAUUUUGUGGUGUUGUUGAAUCCGGGUUUUUUCGUAGUGAAGUAAGGUGGAAGAAGAUUAUUUCUUGGAAUAUAAGAUGGUACGAGACUAGUGAGACGUGGGCCGAAUUCUAUAGAGUUAUGAAAUUUGCAGGUUCAAGAAAUGAGACAUAGGAUGAGUAAAUAAGCGACGAGGUACGCCCAGAUGAGUUGAAGUUAUUACAGAAGAUGUUCCAGCGGAGUUGGUAGGCUCCAUUUGCUCCCGGAGUGUUGCCGAGUCAGAGUUUAUAUGUAAUGAUUUCUGGAUUUAUGUUAGAGACUUUGCAGAUAGAGUUGUGGGUAUUGGUUAUCAGUCUGUAAGCGGCUCCAUCAGCCGAUAUGUCAUUCUGUGUUAUGUAAUAAAUUUUAUAUAAUUACGGAUUUUGUUUAAAAUUGAGAACGAUAAAAGAUGGAUUUCAAAAACUUAAUAUGUAUUUUACUUUUAUCUGAUUUUCAGAGUCUGAAGAAAUUAUGUGUGUAAUAAGAAUCUGUGGGUUCGCUCUCCUCCGGAUAUGGGGUCGGGUGCCCAUCACACCCUAGCGGAAUUGGGGUGUGACAACUUAUGUCAUGGUAUUUUGUAUAUGUUAGAGACUUUGCAGACAGUGUCCUGUGGAUAGGGCGUCGUGAAGUGAGAAUCAUUUAUAGAUGUUACAAGAGUAUGUAUUUUCAGGUGACUUCAGUUGGUAAAAAGUACGUAAUUGAUUGAAAGUUUUUCAUAAUAUGUAUAAAGAUAAUGACCUCUAUUUGGAAAAGUUUCAUGUUUUUAAAAGUUUUUGAAAUGAUAGGUUUUGGUAAAGCGAAUGUUUAAGGGUUCGCUCGACUCUGGAGAGAGUCGGGUGCCCAUCAUGCCCUAUCAAGAUGAGGGUGUGAC
Lycium barbarum (goji berry) is the source of this 1308-nucleotide long non-coding RNA. RefSeq lists it as uncharacterized. NCBI's taxonomy places the organism in Eukaryota, Viridiplantae, Streptophyta, Magnoliopsida, Solanales, Solanaceae. The record is from RefSeq and is a predicted model, not a curated record. The transcript has 4 exons.